AGAGAAUCAUUUGAACCUGGGAGGUGGAGGUUGCAGUGAACUGAGAUUGCGCCAUUGCACUCCAGCCUGGGCAACAGGG
RNAcentral lists this small nuclear RNA (79 nucleotides) under Homo sapiens (human). RNAcentral describes it as "partial ncRNA". Lineage: Eukaryota; Metazoa; Chordata; Mammalia; Primates; Hominidae. The record is from RNAcentral.